Non-coding RNA from Oncorhynchus mykiss (rainbow trout), 1697 nucleotides. Lineage: Eukaryota; Metazoa; Chordata; Actinopteri; Salmoniformes; Salmonidae. The record is from RefSeq and is a predicted model, not a curated record.
CUGUCCAGAAAGGCCCCCCCGCUACUUGGAAACGGGGACGACACUUUGAAGAGUCCGAAGCAGAGAAAUCAAGAGGACGGUUGUCGUGUCCUUGCGGUAGAAAAGCGAACUGAAAGUGAAAUAGUGAACCAGCUAACAAGGUAGCCAGAGAUCGAACCGUUUUGUAUCCACUUCUCUAGUUACAAUUUCAUUGAUUUGUGGAAUCGCAGCCGGACGUUUCUGAAAAGACCUCGUUAGUAUUGAACUGGUUAGCGACACUGGACGUGUUGUGUAUGUUUGCUUGCCAGAUAUCUAACGUUACUGUUACCUUUUGACAUUUUGUUAUUACAUUCAGUCGAUAGAUACUAAAACUAGGUGUAAUAAUCUUCCACAACCAUGGAAUAUAUGACAGCCCUCCAGAAGAAGAGACGCCACGAAGGAGACCUUCAAACCCGGAAAGAUUGCCAAGCGAAACGACUGUGCAACGGAGCGGGAGUCUGCGUCCAGGUUGAACAAGGCGGGAUGGUGACUGACAGCAUGCAACAGCAGGGUGUCCCAAACAGCAGUGUCGGCAGCAACCACCCAGCUUCUAACGUGGUCUAUGCAGUCCAAGGCAGCCAAUGUUGUAAUCGGUGCCUGGCAGGAGAGCCCGGCCACAUUAACCACAUCAUGGGGUAUUGAUCGGUUAUCGUCAUGAUCAGAGAUCGUUUGAAGACCUGAAGGAUCCUUGAGGAUGAAGAGAAUGAUCGAUUGAUUGAGUGUUUGAUCAAGCCAUUUUGUAUGUGGCUGUGAACCGUUUUAUCAGUGUGCCUUGCCUUUUCUAGCUGUUUUAACCACAAACACUGUACUGCUUCAUGUAUAGCCUCGCAUGUUUACACUACCUAACACUGGUAUGGGGAAAAUGGCUACUAACCAGACAGUAGACAUGAUGAUUUCAUACCAUCUCACUAACAUUCUGUUUGAAUGGAAAGAUAACCACUACAGUGUAGUCUACACACAACCAUAAGGAAGGAGCCAUCAAAGCCACAAUUAAUACUGUAACUUUACACUGUAAUGUGGAUACUCCUUUAAAGUCAAUGGAUGUGUUUUAAAAAAAUAAAAAUAAAUACUUAUUGUCCCAGUAUCAAGACUGCUUUCUAAAGCUGCCAGAAAAUAUACAUGUAAAUAGUAAUAUUGAUAAGUACAAACUUUUUAAAGUUAUAUAAUUGUUAACCUUUUUAGAAAUGGAUAAUCCUGUCUGCAAAUAUAUUUUUGUGAAAUAAAUAUUCUAUAUAUUUUUCUAAAAUGUAAUUGGCUGAAUAUAAAAUAAGAAGUUUGGUAACCAAUAUUUGUGCUAAUCGUUUAAUUUUGGAUAGUGUCCUGAAUUGUGUUAAUCUCAUGAACGUUUUCAGCCAGUUUUCAAUAGUUUGAUCUACACUUGAAAUGUUGAGCCGUUUUGACAAGGAUUUGUCUGUUUCCCACUAGAUUUGGUUUUGUGUCGUCUUAGAAUGAUUUGUCUGUUUCCCACUAGAUUUGGUUUUGUGUCGUCUUAGAAUGAUUUGUCUGUUUCCCACUAGAUUUGGUUUUGUGUCGUCUUAGAAUGAUUUGAAGCCAGUUUCCACCUUGCCAAGCAGUGAGUUUUAUAGUUGAUGCUGUUAAAUUUCAGGUUAUGACUCAAUGUAAUAGUUUAUUUUUAGUACUAGGAAAAACAACUUUCAAUAAAGUAUGAUUUUGAUGAA